RNAcentral lists this ribosomal RNA (421 nucleotides) under uncultured bacterium. RNAcentral's name for it is "partial 16S ribosomal RNA". It matches the Rfam family "Bacterial small subunit ribosomal RNA", at positions 361 to 774 of the family's 1533-position model. The record is from RNAcentral.
AUUUUGUACAAUGGGGGAAACCCUGAUCCAGCCAUCCCGCGUGUAUGAUGAAGGCCUUCGGGUUGUAAAGUACUUUUGGCCGAGAAGAAAAGGUAUCUCCUAAUACGAGAUACUGCUGACGGUACCUGCAGAAUACUCGCCGGCCAACUACGUGCCAGCAGCCGCGGUAAUACGUAGGGUGCAAGCGUUACUCGGAAUUACUGGCCGUAAAGCGUGUGUAGGAGGUGCGGAAAGAAAGAUGUGAAAUCCCAGGGCUCAACCUUGGAACUGCAUUUUUAACUGCCGAGCUAGAGUAUGUCAGAGGGGGGUAGAAUUCCACGUGUAGCAGUGAAAUGCGUAGAUAUGUGGAGGAAUACCGAUGGCGAAGGCAGCCCCCUGGGAUAAUACUGACGCUCAGACACGAAAGCGUGGGGAGCAAACA